RNAcentral lists this ribosomal RNA (1270 nucleotides) under Bacillus tequilensis. RNAcentral describes it as "bacterial SSU rRNA". It matches the Rfam family "Bacterial small subunit ribosomal RNA", at positions 41 to 1301 of the family's 1533-position model. Lineage: Bacteria; Bacillati; Bacillota; Bacilli; Caryophanales; Bacillaceae. The record is from RNAcentral.
GGACUUCCCUUAAAAUGGACUCGCGCGCGCCGGCGGUUGGUGCACCUCCUUAUUAGCGGUUGAAGGGUGAGUUUUCGUGGGUCACCUGCCCGUAAGACUGGGAGGCUCCCUGGAACCGGGGCUGGAUCGGACCUUGUUUGAACCGCAUGGUUCAGACAUAAAAGGUGGCUUCGGCUACCACUUACAGAUGGACCCGCGGCGCAUUAGCUAGUUGGUGAGGUAACGGCUCACCAAGGCGACGAUGCGUAGCCGACCUGAGAGGGUGAUCGGCCACACUGGGACUGAGACACGGCCCAGACUCCUACGGGAGGCAGCAGUAGGGAAUCUUCCGCAAUGGACGAAAGUCUGACGGAGCAACGCCGCGUGAGUGAUGAAGGUUUUCGGAUCGUAAAGCUCUGUUGUUAGGGAAGAACAAGUGCCGUUCGAAUAGGGCGGCACCUUGACGGUACCUAACCAGAAAGCCACGGCUAACUACGUGCCAGCAGCCGCGGUAAUACGUAAGUGGCAAGCGUUGUCCGGAAUUAUUGGGCGUAAAGGGCUCGCAGGCGGUUUCUUAAGUCUGAUGUGAAAGCCCCCGGCUCAACCGGGGAGGGUCAUUGGAAACUGGGGAACUUGAGUGCAGAAGAGGAGAGUGGAAUUCCACGUGUAGCGGUGAAAUGCGUAGAGAUGUGGAGGAACACCAGUGGCGAAGGCGACUCUCUGGUCUGUAACUGACGCUGAGGAGCGAAAGCGUGGGGAGCGAACAGGAUUAGAUACCUGGUAGUCCACGCCGUAAACGAUGAGUGCUAAGUGUUAGGGGGUUCCGCCCUUAGUGCUGCAGCUACGCAUUAACACUCCGCCUGGGGAGUACGGUCGCAGACUGAACUCAAAGAAUUGACGGGGCCCGCACAGCGGUGGAGCUGUGGUUUAUUCGAAGCACGCGAAAACCUUACAGGUCUUGACAUCUCUGACAUCCUAGAAUAGGACUCCUCUUCGGGGCAAAUGACAGGGGGGCAUGUUGUCGCCACUCGUGUCGGAGAUGUGGGUUAAGUCCCCCACGAGCCCACCCUUGAUCUAGUUGCCACCUUCAGUGGGCACUCUAAGGGACUGCGGUGACAACCGGAGGAGGGGGGAUGAGUCAAUCAUCUGCCCUUAGGACUGGGCUACCACGUGCUAAAUGGGGAAAAAAGGGCGCNAACCCGGGGUUAACCAUCCCACAAUUGUUUCAGUUGGAAGCGGUCGCACUCACUGGGGAAGGGGAACCUUAAAACCGGAAACCAGCCCGGGGAAA